UGAAAGGUUGCAACAGACAUCUGGUGGUAUCCAACAUUGCUCUUGAGACAUCUACCACAAGCAUAAUUUGAUCAUUGUUUGGGACAUAAGUUUGAUUUAUUUUAUGAUACAAACUCCUGCACAAUUUCUACACAUACUAUGCUAGUUUUUUUUUCUUUUUAUGAUUAUUCCAGUACCCUCUAAACACACAAACAAUUAUGAUUUUUUUUAAACCAACCAAUAAGAAACAUAAAAGGAAAAAUGGCAAUGCAUGUUUGCUACAUUCUGAAAACCUUGCAUACAAUUGUGAGACAAGAGGUACCUCACCAUCAUGUUUGUUUUAUUAUUGUUUUCUUUCAGUCUUCCUUAACAUAAUUUGGCAUCCCUUAACCCUUCUCCUGUUAGCCCACCGCUAUGGUGUCAUUUUGGUGUAUGCCACCUCCUUCCAACCUCACAUUUAGUUAUUCUUUGUAUCUCAUUACUUCUAUCUUAAAAAUAGCUUACAUCCAUCAAUGAACAUCCAACAUCCAACCCUCUGCAAUGUAUCGUGAAUUUUGCAGCUAGAUUUGUCUUCACUUUUACCCUAUAGCAGUUCACUGAUUGGCUGAGAGUGUCAGCUGCCCGUUCUCAGCCAAUCAGAAGCACCCCUGCCUGGCGGCACUCUUUACUUCCCGAAACUGAAAUUUCGGAAGCCAGAUGCUACCUGGGGGGACUUGAGAUCAGCACUGGAGGCAACUUUGAGGUUAAACUUUGUGAGAAUGGUUUAACUCUGUCAGGUAAGCCUUCCUGGCACCAUAACAACUUUAUU
This is a non-coding RNA of Pelobates cultripes (western spadefoot toad), 787 nucleotides long. The record is from the annotation of a GenBank genome assembly. Lineage: Eukaryota; Metazoa; Chordata; Amphibia; Anura; Pelobatidae.